Long non-coding RNA from Sus scrofa (pig), 6805 nucleotides. RefSeq lists it as uncharacterized. The record is from RefSeq and is a predicted model, not a curated record. NCBI's taxonomy places the organism in Eukaryota, Metazoa, Chordata, Mammalia, Artiodactyla, Suidae.
CACAGCUCACGGCAACAUCGGAUCCUUAACCCACUGAGCAAGGCCAGGGAUCGAGCCCACAACUUCGUGGUUCCUAGUUGGAUUUGUUAACCACUGAGCCACGACGGGAACUCCUCUACUACUCAGUUUUAAAUAGUUUAUAUUGCUGCAUCUAGGUUUCCUUCUUCUCCCCAAGUGCAUGGUUAUUUCAUGGGAAGGGGGUCAAGUUCUCUCAUGUUUGGGUUAAAGCCAGAGUGACAAGAAAGGAACAGCCAUAAGAUUUAGGACAGAUAAUUUAACGGGCGGAAUGUUAGAGCCGGAGCUGAACACGAUCAUAUGGAGCCCCCACUAAUUCACGGGAAUCUGGGAAUAAUCCAGAUAGUUCAGACCAGUCUUCGCUGACUCCAAAGGGACUGGAGGACCCCAGCUGGGUUUCCUUGAUAAAAUGGGUUAAUGGAAGUGUGGCGAGAUGUGUCUCCACCUUCUCCAGGCCCUACUGCCGCAGCUCCGAGCCUCUCCUGCGAACAGACUUGUGGGUGCCCAAACCCACUCUCUGCUCCUUUGCUCUUCGUAUCAGCAAUGAACACGCUGGCCUUUGUUGCCAACCUUGAAGAGACUGUACAAUCAGCAUCAUUCUCUGAGAUAUUUCUCAGAGACGGACCUAUAAAAAUUCAGAGCGCUUAGAGGACACCCCUUUCUUCCUUCAAAUUCAUCCCAGGAAUCCUCCCCCCUGUAGUCCAAGCGCCUGCCCACCCCCGGUUCACUGCCAGACUGCCUGGUGCAUCCCUCUGAUGUGAGAAGCCAAGCAAGGUGACGCAAAGGAAGGGAUGAGUCUGUGAGUCAGGUCUGUUGUCUGCAUCUCCAUUCUGUGUCCCCAGCAUCUGUCUGCUGAUUUAUCAAGAGGACCAGCCAUGGUUAGGAAUGAUGGACAGUCCUCGGAGGAAGCAGUGCCAGAAGCAUGAUGAGCAGAAAUGCUGAACAAGAUGCUGGCUGGAGGGGAAAUCAAUCUCCCAGGCUGAUUAGUUUGGGCCAAACGCCAUCCUUUUGGAUCCCACUUAAGCUCAGGUGGCCUGUGGCGGCAGCAUCCACUGCACUGACUGUAUCGUAGCAAGCGGUGUCUGACAGCGAGCGAACUGCUUGUGGCCUGACUUGGAGUUCGUCCCUGCCCUGUUGAACCAGGGUCCAUAAGCUCAGCAGCAGAGCUUUGGAGGCCUCCCUGUCCGCACCCAAGGAUGUGGCUUGGGAAGAGCCAAACCAGCCCUCUGUGGCGCAAACGUCAGCUGAGGCAGCUGAAGGGUAGCACUUAGAACUGUCAGUGCCGCCUGCUCCAGCAGCUGGACAGAAACAAGAGCACUUCACCGAUUCAGUCCCAUUUGCUACCACGAACCCUUCAGCCUCCUCAGAGUCUCCCCGCUGCUGCUUGGGGCCCCGUGGGGUGUUUCACACCCACACGUAGAGUGGUCCUCUGUUUUUCUCCAGUCCUGCCCCAGCCUGCUGGCCUGAGUGCUCUGAGCGUGCUCGCAUAUGGCUGUGAAGCCCCCUGGAGGCCACCCCAUACCACCCCUCAUUGUGCCAAAGCCCUUGCCACAGGGCCUCCAUGCCCUGCCCAGCGCUGUGGAACCACUCCCUUAGUUUUCAUUCUUUCCUCUCUGCAGCCUUUCUCCCCAGGACCCGGGCAGGUGUCCCGAGUCCUGGGGGAGAAGCAGGAGGGGUUUCUCUGCUCCUCCCACAUGGACCUGGAUCUGUGCACCUCUUCUCCCCUUUGCUCCUGAGGAUGAAGUCUUUCCUGGGAGGCUCAUGGCAAAGCCGUCUUAGGAGGCCCAGAGCUGCGAUGCUUCAGAUGCACCCAAACAUGUCUGAAUCCGGGGUAGACAAAGUCCAGGUCUAGGCUGAGACCCCGCCACUCCUUCCAGUGGACAGGUGUGGGAAGACAGGACCUCAGCCGGCAGCCCCAAGAGGCUCACAGCUGCUUCCCUGGCCAAGAAGAGGAUCACAGGACAGUGUCCUGACUCUUCUGAAUCCAGCCUCCACAGUGAGCUGUUGUUACUCAGGUGGAGAGAGCGUGAGAGAAUGAGGAGAGAGGCAGGACGGCGCCGGCCCAGCAGCCUCUCAGCUGUGCCGUUAACAGUCUGGGCACGUCAUUCCUCUCCUCGGCCUCCCUGUCACGUGUCAAGUCAGUGGUGCUCUGUCUAGAUCAGAGGUCAGCAAGCCUUUUCUGGAAGGGGCCAGGGAAAUAUUUCAGGCUUUGUGGGUCACACCGUCUCUGUCCUAACAACUCAGCCCUGCAGUUGGAGCACAAAAGCAGCUGUGGACAAUACGCGACUGUGUUCCGACAAAACUGAUAUAUAGAAGCAGGUGGUGGAUUGCACUGGACCCACAGGCCAUAGUUGGUCAACUACAGGUCUAGGUGAUUUCCAAAGGCUCUUUAAGUUUCAGCAAAUCCUUAAGGCCAGAAGUGAAUACUUUGAUGCCAGAGGCAUGAGGCCUUUGAAUGGAAGAUCCCAAAUUUCACCAGUAGUUUCCUUGCUUUUUUUCGAAAACGUCUUCCCUUCUCUCUUCCCCAGCUAGGACCUGAAUUUCAGCGGCAUUUAUCGAGAGCCCAGAAUGUACCUGGAGGUGCUCUUGAUGUAGGGGAGUCUAUUGAUACAAUGACUGACACCUCCAAUGACUCACGAUGUAAAUGAAGGCAAUAAACAGGUAGUGACGUCAUAGGAAACAGAGUUAUCGCUCUAGUCCGUCAUCGAGACAAAUCAAGUUGCAAGGCAGCUCCGUUUCACAUACCAGAGGGCAUCAGGUUCAAGGACGUCGUCAUGUAAAACGGGAGGAGAGACAGGAAGCUGGCUGGGCCGUCGAAGCGCAUUCCCGCGGGACCCCGAGAAGUCCCGACUCGGGCUGGGACUGGUCCGCAGAGCAGUGCCGAGACGGGUUGCCCUGGAGGGCUGAGGGGCAGCUCGUGGAGGUAAAAGCCACACUUUUGUCCUGACUUGCAGAGAAGUGGGCAGUAGGUUAGGGUGCAGAGCAUGCGAAGGGAGCGUCUCGUGGAAUGCGUAGGUGAAGGUGCCGGUCAGCGGGAAACCACGGGGAGCGGGCGUCUCAACACUCCCCGGCCGCGGUCCCCGGCUCCGCAGAGCUUCCUCGUCUUAUUUCAGGGAGAUGAAGUGUUGGUCGAGGCGAUUCCUGGACCACACGCAAGAUGCUGUACCAAGAUUUCUGUCUUUGACAUGUUUAUUUCUAAAAUGUCAUCACGACUUGCUAGAUCCUUUCCAUAAAACCGGCAGUAAACAUCGCUUGCCUUCAGCAGCAGGGCUAGGUGGCUCCAAAGGCUUGUCGUAGCCACGCAGACACAUGGGUGUCACUGGAGGAGCAACAGCGCAGGUAAUUCCAAACACCCCAACUCAGUUCUCCUUGACUUCGGGGUUUAGUCCAUUUGCGCAGGAGUACAUUUAUAUUUUUCCUAUUUUAUGGAAUCACUGAAGCUUAGAAUUUUACCGGAGCCCUUCAUUUCACCCUCACUGAAAGGCGAAUUUAGAGAAGGAAUAUUAAGUGCUUGCUUUCGGCCACGGACUUAAUAGAAGAACCAAAAUUAGAAGCUAGGUCUUCUGAUGCCAGAGGUGGAGCUGUCAGGACUGCAUUUUACACUGUGACCCAGGGUGUGUGCGAGAGCACGCCUGCAGCCCGAAGCGGACCUUUCCUCUUCUUUUCUAUUCGGUUAUCUCCUUUGACCAAGUGCUGGUCAUGACCCCCUCCGCUGACGUCACAGCCCCCUAAAAGGUCCCAGCUCAGCUCGGUUUUUGAUAAACACUGCUCUGGGUGACAGUAUUACUCAUAUGCCAUCACAGCCGCCACACACCAAACAAAAACGAAUGCUUUCUUACAGCAGCGCGAGCAACAUUUCUCUUUGAAAGAUUACCACUUUGCAUGAGGAAGGAGAAAGAACUGGGAUCAUUUGGUUUUCCUGGGCCAAAAAAGUCUAAAUAUGCAUAAAGGGAGCCACGAAUCUGUCGGAUAUUUUCCAAGCACAUCCAAAGCCCACGUUCUCCGUGAUGGCUUUCCAGACUAGCUCGCCGAGCUCGGAACCUCUCGACACUGAUGGACAUUUUUGCAGAGUCACUAAUGCGAAACCCCAUCUUUAUCGCCUUCUUUCUAGGAAAUGGCAAAGAAAGAAAAUUCCCGCGGAUGUCUGGAAGACACUCCCUGCUUAUCCCCAAAUCCGUGAGAGGGAUGGAGGCACUGAUGCAGGGGCAAGAUGACGUAUUAGCUGUACCCAUCCCGAUGCUGCAUAUUUGAGUGCUGAAACUGUAAUAGCAAUGCAACGAAAAUGUCAAAAUCGAGCUGGUCCGGGAUGGAACCUAGGCUUUCACAGGGACGUAUAAUUAGAUGGCCGAGGCUAUCUGAGAAAUUUUUCAGCCUCUGGGCAGCUUUAACCUCCGGCUAAUUCUCCACCCCAAAUAUCCUUCAGAGUUAGGCAUUGUCACCAAGGAGCUCUUUGAAAUUCGUUUUGUUUUCUCAGCCACCAGAGCUGCAGGAGGUCGUGACCAGGGGCGAGGAGCAGAAGGGAAAAGCACAGGAAUGGAAAAGCUUUAAGACUCCUCGUGCCAGAGAAUCAGGCACCACAUUGGAGAAUAGCAGCCUGGGACCGUAGACUCUCAGAAGAGCAUAAAAGACGGCCCUCAGGCCUGAUCCACGCCUUUCCCAGCUUGAACUGCUCUUUCCUAAAUCGGUUUCAAUUUCCUCCAUCUCCAAGAGGCGGCAGCAGAAAAGAAGGAGCCAGGAAGGCAGAGGCCCAGUGUUUUUCUCCCCAGCUGCCCUAGUGGUGCUGACAACUGAGCUGAUGGGAAAAUGGCUGCUAAUUAAAUCACUUCGUAAGAAAGAGACCAUUUUCCAUCUGAAUGCACUCUGCAGUUCUCAUGUUGGGUCAUUGGUUGUUCUAAUAAGCUGGAGAGGUUGAGUUCCAAGGUUGCAGCCGCUGCUGGUCCACAGAAACAGGGAGCGUGUUUUGGCCGUGCCCUUGCCCCGUGGAGGUGCCCAGGAAGCCUGACCGAUGGCAUUCCUUGUGAUCAUUCUGUUCAUGGGAGACCUGGGGCUGAGAUCUGUGUUUCCCAGUCCACGGGUUUAGGAUGCUUCUGUGCCGAUGGGAUAAAACAAAGCCCCAAACCAGCUAGAAAAAGCCUCCGUGCCUUUUAACUGAAAAAGGAGCAGGAAAGGACUCCUUUUCGUGCAGAUCUGCUGUGACGAGGGAAGGAAGGUACUCCUCCAGCCGUAUUGGAACAGAAGCGUGGGAAAGCUCGGCCUCCUUCAGCGCCAUGGUUUUAGGAGAGCUGGAGAGCCCGGGCCUCCCGGUGUGAGGCUGUGGACUCUGGAAUUAGACCAAGUGUCAGUUCCAGCUCUAACACGUAGCAGCUCUGUGACCUUGGACAAGCCGAGGCCAUCUCUUCACCUCCCCCGUCGGAAGACAGUGAUAAUACUCACCUCUGGGGUAGCAGUGAAGAGUGAAGAUGGCUGUACUUCUAGAGUGCGGAGUCUCUGGAAAGCACUCGUUCAAUGGUAGAGAGAGAACGCUUUUUCCACUUGCCAGAUGCUGAGGAGGCUCAGAGAGAUCGGGUAGCUUGACCGAGGUCAUGAAACUAACGAGAGGGGUCGGGAUUCUGCUGGACUGUAAAUCCAGGCACCGUGUGGUCUCAUUGUUGGAAGCAAACACUUAAAUGCAUAUGGUUUUAUUGGCUGUGAACUGAGCAGAACUCUUCUGAUACACCUGACUACACGGAUUAUACUCCCUGAGGUGUAUUUUGGCAAAAAUGAUGCCAAUUCCCUUUGGUUUCCAGGCCCAUCUUGCUCAAGGGUUCCAUUACUCUGAGCCCAUAUCUUUCUGAACGCUGGAACAUUUGGUCUCUUGGGUGCCCUGUACAUCCAGAGUCUGCGGCUGCACUUUUUUUUUUUCUUUCAGCAUCUAAAAAAGAUUUCCUCUCUCAUUUCCUGAGACCCAACAGAAAACUGGUGGUCCUGGCUUUCUGCCUUCUCACCUCCACUUCUCUCUCAAGUUUCCGUUUUAGUUUGGCUUCAGUGGAAAAUUCCACUGCGGCCUUCGGUGGAUGAAUGCAGCCUCUUUAAUUAUAUUGAAUUUACAGAGAUCAAUUUUUAUAACCCUAACAGGGUUAGUCCCUGAGUUCCUGUGCUUGUUAGAUGAUCAUGGACCCAUUCCUGGGGGCCCAGGGGCCCCUCAGGGGGUCUAAUCGACAGUGGCCGGUCAUCUGUCAUGAGUCAUUUCUGUCAUGCUGGAAAAGAGAAAUUUAUGGCUUUGGUCAGUAUCUUUCCUUAGGGCUCAGCAUCUCCUGGCUCCAUUCUCUUGUUGGCACUCUGAAGCGGCAGCAUUUUUUUCUUUUCUAUUGGAAUAAAUCCCUCCAAUAAUUGCAGAAACUGACGGCCUUGACCACGAAAGAAAUGCGAAACUGUACCAUAAUUUGGGCUGUGUUCUCUUUCUCCCUCCGUCUGCGUUUCCUGCUUUCCCUCCUUCCUCCUUCCAUUCCGCCCUCCUUUCACUUUCUUCGCUCUUACCCUCUCCCCUCCCCUCCUAUCGUCUCUUCCUGUAUUUCUGUAUUCUUUUCAGUUCAAUAAAUGUUGAUUAGAUACCCAAUCAUUUGGGCUGGAUAACUGAGCACCCAAAAAUGAGAUGGUCUCUGUCUUCAAGGAACCCACAGCUUACAAACGAGUAGAAACUUCCCCUCUCUUGCCUUCCUUUUUCCAAUUUAUAUUAAGGACUGAAAUAAAUCUAGAUAUUAUUCAGGGUCAGUAAAGAUUGUCACAAAAAGUAAAAAACUCUUUGAAGUUA